This 69-nucleotide transfer RNA is filed under the name Psyllidae sp. EMHAU-2015-Zz060501. RNAcentral describes it as "tRNA-Asn". The record is from RNAcentral. Lineage: Eukaryota; Metazoa; Arthropoda; Insecta; Hemiptera; Psyllidae.
UGUGUAAAAGUCAAAAAGAGACAAAUUAUUGUUAAUAAUUCUAAUGGGAAAUUCCCCCCCCUUACACAA